This is a non-coding RNA of Delphinapterus leucas (beluga whale), 676 nucleotides long. NCBI's taxonomy places the organism in Eukaryota, Metazoa, Chordata, Mammalia, Artiodactyla, Monodontidae. The record is from RefSeq and is a predicted model, not a curated record.
GCCUGCGGGGAGACCUGAGGGCUGCGUUCUGGGGCGAAGCUCUAGGGAGCCCACACCAGGGAGAGGCCUGGACUCAGCGGCCAGGACUCAGCUCCCAGGAGGCUGCUCCAAGGCCCUCCUCUUCCCCAUGGCACGGAGCCUCCUAGCUGGACACCCAGAUCACGGUCUUUCGAGCAGAAUAAGAGUAGCCGGUAGAGACAGAUAUAUCCAAAGAGCCCCAGGUCGGAGACCCGGCGCCAGACCACGUCACGCUGCGGGGCCGCGGGGUCUGCACCCCUCAUUGGAGCCGGAACUGCAAAGCCUGCGUGUGCUUACGACGGGGCGCUGCGCUGAGGGGCGGCCCAGGCAAGCCGGCAGGGGGCGAGCCCCCUCGGGUGCCCAGCCGGCGCUCGGAGCAGGGACGUCUGGGAUCACCUAAUGGCAGGUGGCCGGCCGGCAGCCUCCUUGCCUUCCUGAAGGCGGCAGCUCAGCCCAGGCAGAAGGAUUCUUGGAGUCAGGUCACCUUCAGGCCCUUCCCUAAACUCGCUGCUCUGGCAACCGACAACCCGCUGGGCGCACUUGUGCUUUAAGCCUUCCAGACCCAGGGUUUCGUGAAACAGGAAUUCCAGACUUCCCGGUGAAGGGCGGACGUCUGAGACGAGACAGAUUCACCCCUGCUCCCCCAGAUCGAGAAGCA